Molecule: long non-coding RNA, 307 nt
Filed under: Lynx canadensis (Canada lynx)
Lineage: Eukaryota; Metazoa; Chordata; Mammalia; Carnivora; Felidae
Description: lncRNA (ENSLCNG00005018572.1)
Source: RNAcentral
CUCCUUUUCCCCUAACGUGGCUUUAUGAUUUACAAAGCACUUUUAGGGCAUCGGUUCGGUUCGUUCCAUUUUCAAACAUCUGUGACUUAAAUGUUAUCUCCACUUUGUAGAACUUCAAGCUAAGCCACAGAGAUAGAGAUUUAAGUAAAGGACCCCCAAUCACCGGGCUGUGAGAGAACAGCAACGGUGCACGCGGGCGGAACUUGCCCCGGAUCGGUCUGGCUUCUCCUAUCAGACUUUCCCUAUGGUUUUCCAAAGCUAGAGCAGACUUCCAUUCUUCCUGUGGUGCACCUUGACUGACCACAUC